RNAcentral lists this ribosomal RNA (492 nucleotides) under uncultured bacterium. RNAcentral's name for it is "partial 16S ribosomal RNA". It matches the Rfam family "Bacterial small subunit ribosomal RNA", at positions 29 to 507 of the family's 1533-position model. The record is from RNAcentral.
AGUGAACGCUGGCGGUAGGCCUAACACAUGCAAGUCGAACGGCAGCACAGUAAGAGCUUGCUCUUACGGGUGGCGAGUGGCGGACGGGUGAGGAAUACAUCGGCAUCUACUUUUUCGUGGGGGAUAACGUAGGGAAACUUACGCUAAUACCGCAUACGACCUACGGGUGAAAGCAGGAGAUCUUCGGACCUUGCGCGAUUGAAUGAGCCGAUGUCGGAUUAGCUAGUUGGCGGGGUAAAGGCCCACCAAGGCGACGAUCCGUAGCUGGUCUGAGAGGAUGAUCAGCCACACUGGAACUGAGACACGGUCCAGACUCCUACGGGAGGCAGCAGUGGGGAAUAUUGGACAAUGGGCGAAAGCCUGAUCCAGCCAUACCGCGUGGGUGAAGAAGGCCUUCGGGUUGUAAAGCCCUUUUGUUGGGAAAGAAAAGCAGCAGGUUAAUACCCCGCUGUUCUGACGGUACCCAAAGAAUAAGCACCGGCUAACUUCGUG